GUAUAUUGCAAAUAUUUUUAAUAUGGCGGGCAGCCAAGUUGGUAAUAAUAGGAUUAAUAUUUGAUAAACAAAAGGAAGUAUGAUAUAACCAUUAUCUGUCCCUUAUAUGCCAUUUUUUAUGCUUUCUAUCCAGAAGAUCAUUGGCCAUUUGUUAAAACAAUUAUUUACUAUCACAAUUUGCCUAGAAUGAAGAAGGCGUAACUAUAUAAUGGCCAGUAAGGGUAUCCUUUACUGCUUCUGCUUUGCUGUCCGUCACUCAACUGGAGAGUGACAAAAGUUGGUUGUUCCUUUUUGACUAAUGGGUUCUACCUUAAAUAUUAAGAAGAAAAUGAGAUAUAACAUUGACCUUAAUCUAUUCUACUUGGAUUAAGAAAUCACAGGAAACUAGGAUGGAGAAGAUUUUGUAGUAGUUUCCUGUAUUUUGAAAAAUGAAAUGCCAAAUCUUAUCAUCUAUUAGCUACUUUGUAGAAAACUUGGAUAUUUUCAGAAGAACUUUCUUAAAAGAUGAGACGAUCUUUAAAAAUUGAAUAAAUACCACUAACUGCAGGUUAUUAACCAUUAUGCUUUCCCUUCUUCCUCUUCCCUGUACUUUCCUCCUUCUCCUCUUCCACCCCCCUUUUCUCCUCUUCCUCCUAAUUAUUUUCUUCUUAUCUUCAUCUUUCUCUCUCCCUUUCUCCCUCCCUCUCUUUUUAAUGUUAUUCCACUAAAUUGUCAUGAUAUUUGUCAGGCUUUAUCUAGGAGACUUAAAGUUAUAUGAGGUCCCUCAUGGCCACAAAUUUUAUAUGUUUAAAAUUGGUAACUGCAGCUUUGUGGGAUCGUUUUUAGUUUUAGAAAUGGAAUUUCUUUCCUUUCCCAUGUUUGUUCGUCUCCUUCUCUGUAUUGCUCAUGUAAAUACAUGAUCAGAAAAGCCAGCACUGGCCCAAAUCUUCCACACGGAGAUGAGAAUCGCAUAAUGGAAGUUUGUAAUGAGGUCAGUUCAUGCCUUUUUAAUCCGUUUCUAUUCUUGAGUAACUUAAGUUUCUGAUUCUCCUUAAAACUAGAGAUUGUAACUCAAAUGCACUGAGUAAAGUCCUUGAAAGGGUAGAAUUUAGUGCCUCAAAAAUCAGGGUAUAAUCACAUAAGUUAAAGCUUCUAACAGUUUAAAUAUUUUUAAUUGGUUAAUUUAUGGUUACUGUUCAGUCUUGCUUUUAAGCUUUUAAAUAUCUGUUAUAUUAGUUCUAUCUUUCACUGAAGAAUACAGGGUGUAGAACUUCAAUCAGUAUAGUGACAAAUUAAUACCUAUUGUGUUGUGCUGGGUACACAGAGCUAAAGCCAAAAAUGUCUCCCUAUCUACAAGAGGUUGUGCAGGGUUUUCUUCUGGGAUCAAGUGGCCACAUGGU
Molecule: long non-coding RNA, 1379 nt
Filed under: Capra hircus (goat)
Lineage: Eukaryota; Metazoa; Chordata; Mammalia; Artiodactyla; Bovidae
Description: lncRNA (ENSCHIG00010016632.1)
Source: RNAcentral